RNAcentral lists this ribosomal RNA (2965 nucleotides) under Coryphaenoides rupestris (roundnose grenadier). RNAcentral describes it as "eukaryotic LSU rRNA". It matches the Rfam family "Eukaryotic large subunit ribosomal RNA", at positions 768 to 3390 of the family's 3401-position model. The record is from RNAcentral. Lineage: Eukaryota; Metazoa; Chordata; Actinopteri; Gadiformes; Macrouridae.
UCCGCGCGUUCCUACGGGAGGUGGAGCUUGAGCGCGUGCGAUAGUACCCGAAAGAAUGGUGAACUAUGCCUGGGGCAGGGCGACAGCCAGAGGAAACUCUGGUGGUAGGCCGUAGGCGGUCCCUAACGUGCAAAUCGGUCGUCCGACCUGAGGCAUCAGGGGCGAAAGACUAAUCGAACCAUCUAGUAGCUGGUUCCCGAAGUUUCCUAGAUAGCUGGCGUCGUACUCGCAUUUUAUUGGUAAAGCGAAUACUAGAGGCCUUGGGCCGAAACGAUCUUCAACCUAUUCCUCAAAACUUUAAUGGUAGAGGCCCUGCUCGGCUGCUGGAGCAGGGCGUGGAAUGAGAGUGCCCAGUGGGCCACUUUGUAAGCAGAACUGGCGCUGCGGAUGAACCGAACGCCGGGUUAAGGCGCCGAUGCCCGACGCUCAAUCAGACCCAAAAAAGGUGUUGGUUGAUAAGACAGCAGACGGUGGCCAUGGAAGUCGGAAUCCGCUAAGGAAGUGUUAACAACUUCACCUGCCGAAUCAACUAGCCCUGAAAAUGGAUGGCGCUGGAGCGUCGGGCCCAUACCCGGCGAGUCGCUGGCGAUCGGAGCCACGUGGGCUAACGCCGCGAUGAGUAGGAGGGCCGCCGCGGUGAGCACGGUAAAGAAGCCUAAGGGCGUGGGCCCGGGUGGAGCCGCCGCGGGUGCAGAAUCUUGGGUGGUAGUAGCAAAUAUUCAAAACGAGAACUUUGGAAGGCGAAGUGGAAGAAGGGUUACCAUGUGAACAGGCAGUUGAACAAUGGGUCAGUCGGUCCUAAGAGAUUGGCGAACGCCGUUCCGAAGCGCGGGGCCGAUGGCCUGCCGUCGCCCCCGGUCGAUCGAAAAGAGGAGUCGGGUCAGAUCCCCGAAUCUGGAGAAGGCGGAGAUAGGCGCCGCGAGGCGUCCAGUGGCGGUAACGCAAACGACCCCGAGAAGCGCGGCGGGAGCACCCGGGAAAGUUCUCUUUUCUUUGUGAAGGGCAGGGCGCCCUGGAAUGGGUUCGCCCCGAGAUAGGGGCCCGUGCCCUGGAAAGCGUCGCGUUCCGCCGGCGUCCCGGUGGCUCUCGCUGGCCCUUGAAAAUCCGGGUGAGAAGGUGUAAAUCUCGCGCCACGGCCCCCGUACCCAUAUCCGGCAGCAGGUCCUCCAAAGGUGAACAGCCUCUGGCAUGAUGAAACAAGGGGGGAAGAGGAAGUCGGCAAGAAUCAGAUACGUAACUUCGGAUAAGGGAUUGGCUCUAAGGGCUGGGUCGGUCGGGCUGGGGUGCGAAAGCGGGGCUGGGCCUGGCCGCGGCUGGGGGAGCAGCUGCCGUCGCCUCCCUAUCGUCCUCCCCCGUUCGAAAGCGUCCCGUGACGGGCGGUCCGGAGGGGGCUCCUCUGCGCGGUCGCUUUCGCUUCGGCGUGGCGCUGCCUGGGGGUCCUCCGAGGGCCGUCCCGAGGCGGGCGUGGAAGGCGGGAUGUGGGGCUUGGGCUCGGGUGGCGGUCGGCGGCGACUCUGGCACGUGUGUCGGCCUUCUCGCGGAUCUUCCUCAGCUUACGGGACUGUAGGGCUCCACCCGGGGUUCGCGCGGUUCGCCCGGCUGACGCCUAAGCAGCUGGACUUAGAAAACUGGUGCGGACCAGGGAAAUCCGAUGUUAAUUAAAAACAGAGGCAUCGCGAGGGCCCCAAGCGGGUGUUGACGCAAUGUGAUUUCCCUGCCGCAGUGCUCUAAUGUCAAAGUGAAGAAAUUCAAUGAGCGGCGGGUAAACGGCAGGGGAGUAACUAUGACUCUCUUAAGGUAGCCAAAUGGCCCUCGUCAUCUAAUUAGUGACGCGCAUGAUGGAUGAACAGAUUCCACUGUCCUACCUAACUAUCCAGCAGAAACCACAGCCAGGGAACGGGCUUGGCAGAAUCAGGCGGGGAAAGAAGACCCUGUUUGAGGCUUGACUCUAGUCUGGUCUGUGGAAGAGACAUGAGAGGUGUAGAAUAAGUGGGAGGUCUCGGCCGACGGUGAAAUACACUACUCUUUCGUUUUUUCCACUUACCCGGUGAGGGCGGGGAGGCGAGCCCCGAGUGGGUUCUCGUUUCCUGGUGUCAAACCCCGGCUUGGGCCGGGGGCAACCCGUCCCGGGGACAGUGACAGGUUGGGGAGUUUGACUGGGGCGGUACAGACCUGUCAAACGGUAACGCAGGUGUCCUAAGGCGAGCUCAGGGAGGACAGAACCUCCGUGGAAGCAGAAGGCAAAAGCUCGCUUGAAUCUUGAAUUUUCAGUAUGAGUACAGAAGAACCGUGAAAGCGCGGCCUUCACGAUCGCUUCUGAUGUUUUGGGUUUUAAGUAAAGCCAGGAGGUUCAGAAAAGUUUACCACAAGGUGAUACUGGCUUGUGGCCCAAGCGUUAUAGCUACGUCGCUUUUUGAUCCUUUCGAAUGUCGGCUUCUUCCUAAUCCAUUGUGAAGCAAGAAUUCACCAAAGCGUUGGAUUGUUCACCCACUAAUAGGGAACGUGAGCUGGUUAGACCGUCCGUGAGACAGGUUAGUUUUUUUAACCCUACUGAUGAUGUGUUGUUGCAAUAGUAAAUCCUGCUCAGUACGAGAGGAACCGGCAGGUUCAGACAUUUGGUGUAUUGGGUGCUUGGCUGAGGAGCCAAUGGGGCGAAAGCUACCCAUCUGUGGGCUUAUGAAGACUGACGCCUCUAGUCAGAAUCCCCGCCUAAGAUGGAUGAUACAAGCGCUCGGGCAUACGAUUGUUCAAGGGUAACCGACCCAUCCCCGGGGGGCCGGCGAGGAAAGACGUUUGGUACUGGUUCGGGGUCGGCCAAAAGAUGGUCGCCCUCUCCAUGAUCCACCGCUGUUUAUGAAGGACUGGUUUGUUAAAUCACUUGCAUACGACCUGAAUUCUGGUCAGGGUGUCGUAAGUAGCAGAGCAAGCUUUUAUGACUGCGUCUAUUGAAGUCAUACCCUCGAUC